This 103-nucleotide microRNA precursor is filed under the name Marmota monax (woodchuck). Lineage: Eukaryota; Metazoa; Chordata; Mammalia; Rodentia; Sciuridae. The record is from RNAcentral.
AGAGGAAUAGCUGGGUCAAAUGAUGGUUCUACUCCCAGAUUUCCAAGGAAUCUCCAUACUGCUUUCCAAAUUGGCUGCACCAAUUUGCAGUCCCACCAGCAAU